UCGUACGUUUCCACAUGUCCCUCCGCAUCACUAUGGUAAUUGCUGUCGUCCGAUAACACUUCCUCCUCUUCCUCACUAUUCAUUACAAGAUAAUUGCGGGCGGCAUCGUUUUCCAUAUCACCAAUGAUCAUAUCAAUAUCCAUGUCAUCAAUAUCCCUGUCGCUGUCUUCUUCGAAAUCAUCGUAGUCUAUUCGAGCUCAUGCCAUUUUUCAAACACUUUCUCACAGCACAGAACUCUCACUUUAUACAGAACUUCUUUCUCAAGCUUCAAAAUUCGGAAUGCUCGUUUUGGAAAUAUCUUGGAAGAAGGAAGCUAAUUUUUCGCGUGUAGCCCGUAGAAAAAUAAGAGUAGGGUUUGCUAGAGGCGAGGGUGGAGACUUGAUGAGGAGGGGAUUUGUUGUUAAUUUUGGGGAACGUAGGUAAUAAACUUCCAACAGCGAGUGAGAAACCUUUGUAUUUUCCAACAGAGAGAAAGUUUAGGAUUUAGAGAAAACUAUUUUUCGUGCUAUCAAGUACGUUCUAACACUAUACUAGGUCCGGUGCCAGUCGUGAUAAACGUCUAGACAAUUUUCGCGGUUGGCGCCAGUAGGAUGUCAGAACGUACAUCUGAGUAAAAAAAGUCCUGAAAGAAUUCAGUCGUAUAAGAAUUUGUUCAUAUUAUAAUAAGAGAUUGUUAAGAUAUAAUGUAAAAUUACUUACCUAUGUCGGGAUCGAACCUGGGGCGGGCCACCCAUAUGACCACUCACUCAAUCACCUGAACCACGCAGGUUACAAUCAAGUUUAAAUGUUAUACUACACAUAGCUUAUCCGCUAAACGUUAUCUUACGAUAUAUUAAAAUCAGAGUUAAACAUUCCAGCAGCCGAGUGUCGGCGCUUCAAUAGCAAAAGUACCGCAUGGUCAUGAACAUAAUCUUAAACAAUAAUUCCUAGAAUAAAGAUAGAAAAGUGCAGUAGGGUAAUAAAACAUACCCUUCGUAACGUCAUAUCCCCUCACUCUCACCCUCCCUCGGGUUAGGACCCCCACCGACCCAGAACCGACCUGGGUUGGGACCCCCGCCGACCCAGAACCGACCUGGGGUAGGACCGAUCUUACCCCCUCCCCAAAAGUGGUCCAGAACUCUCCUAGAUACUCUACUUAUAAUAUGAGACAUGAUAUACGUUCUUGGGUUUUAAAGCAUAAUAUUACUCAUACAGCCGUCAAUGAACUUCUCGAAAUAUUAAGAAAACAUAAAUGUCACGAACUGUUACCGAAAGAUGUCAGAUCCUUAAUGAGAACUUCACGAUGUGUACAAUCGGAUAUCGUAUAUUUCUCUCAGCAGCAGAAAUAUAUACAUUUUGAUUUAGAAGAAGGCAUCAAAGUUUCUAUAUACAAACAUUAUGUUUCUCUUCCUCAGGAAGUACGUUUGAAUUUUAAUAUAAAUGAAUUGCCCAUAUCCAAAAGUUCUUCAGAACAAUUUUGGCCUAUAUUAGCUGCUUUAGUGAACAAUACUUCAUAUACAGAACCAUUUCCAGCUGGAAUUUACUGUGGUAAAACAAAACCAGAAGAUGUUAAUAUUUUCCUACAAUCAUUGAUUUCGGAUAUAUUACGUAUACAAGACAAUAAUGGAAUAUAUAUAAAUGGUAAACUAAUUUUUGUAAAAGUAAAUGCCUUCGUGUGUGAUGCACCAGCAAAGGCUUUUAUCGCUGGCAUAAAAAAUCACACAGGAUACUUUGGAUGUGCAAAAUGUACGUACGAAGGUGACUUCGUUGAAAAUAGGAUGACUUUCCCAGACUUAAAAUGUCCUCUUCGAACAGACGCUUCAUUCAAAAACAAAACGCAACCUGAACAUCAUCGUAUAACAACUAUACUUGAAAAUGCAAACAUUGGAAUGGUAUCGCAAUUGCCUUUAGAUUACAUGCAUUUAGUAUGCCUAGGAGUUAGGGAGCAGGCACAUGGAGCGUAACUUGCGUAAGCGUAACCUGAAGUUACUAGAAAACUUCCGCCUAGUUAUUUUACGCCUUUUGCGCUACUGCCGUUACGCCGAAUUCAAUAUCUAGUGAAAGAUACGUUGAUGCAUGUGUGUUAGUGCGUAUUGUUUUUGGCCAUUUUGAACGGAUCAAUCCUUUGUGAUCCACCGGAUUGGGCGCCAUUACAGUGUAACUGUAAAAUUCUGUAAAUUCGUGUAAUAAGAAGAAGUAUUGUUUGAGAAAGUUGUUCUUGCAUGGUGCGGAGCUGCAAAAAUAAAAAGCAAGAAAAUCAAAUCAGGACACGUGCACGCCAAUCAGUUAUACAUUAAUUAACCGCAAACUGGUUGUACUCCACGCUCGAGGAACUAGUUUCCGUACGGUAAAUGCGGAUUCUUUAUACAGAGUGUGAAAUCAUUUCCGGCGCAGCCAGUUAGCAUGGGAAAACAAUUCCGGCGACUUUCCGUCAAAUCUCCAAUGAGAGAUGACAUAGCUGAUGUGGCGUUUUAGAUUAAAGAAUCGUUUCCUACUCUCUCCAAUCUCUGGGUUGGAGAAAUAGCAACACGAAGAAGGCGAAUGUAAGGUACAGACGCACAUUCUUGCGCGAGUCGAGUGCACCACCACGAUUGUUCCGCUCAAAAUUCAAUACAACCCGUUAUGUAAUUAAACAUUCUCCCUAACUUAUCUUUCCUUUGUCAUGUGCAAAAAAACGAUGCUUUGUAACUGUUUAUGUAAUGUGCAAGUAUAAUUUUAUCUGAUUGAAUGUUUUUAUUUGUAUAAAGAAAUGCUAUCUUACUGUGAGGUUGUUUUGUGAAAGAAAAAUGUAAUAAUUUACAAAAAACAAGUGCUGGAAAUGAGAACUUGUUCUCUACAUUGGAAAAGGGUUUACUUCAAGCUAUACCUACAGAUUCGUAGAUGAGUAGAAUGGCGCAGCUCAUUAGCAGACCGAUUAAACAAGUCAAACUUGGAGCUAUCUUUGUGCCAUUUUCAAGGGAAAUUUUACCCACUGAGAAAGACUGGCAUCUUAUAAAGCAACCAAGAAAUAAAUACAGUAGUAUAUGGAUAAAUAUCGAACUCAGCUAUUCGAAGCUACCAUACCUUGCAUAUAUUCCUUAUAUUAUUGAUAAUAUUGAAUUGUAACUGCUUUACUGCUUUACAAAAAGGAGACAAAGAUGUUGUGCUUCUGCGAGAUUCUUUUUGGAAGAUGGACGGAUGUCUUGUUUGUGAUACCUUUAGACGCAUGCACAGAACACAUCGCAAUCAUGUAUGAUCAAUCACAACAGUUGAUUUUAGGCUUUGUGUACACGAUGCAAGAUAUUAAUUGGCUUUUCCAUUAAAGUUGCAAGUUGAUUGGCCACACAAUUCUCGAAUCAAGAACUUGGACCAAUUUCUUGCAUUGUCUACAUAAGGCCGGUAUUCAUAGUCAGAUCUUAUAUUUAAGACCGUCUUUAGUUUAUCUGCAGAUGCUGUAUAGAUCAUUUCAUUGGCUACGGAGUAUCUGAAGAUAUACUUAAGACGGUCUUAAAUAUAAGAUCCGACUACGAAUACCGACCAAUGUGUAUAAAUAAUAAUUCUUUAUUUACGACAAAUGUGUGUGUGAUAUGAAAGAAUGUGUAAACAUUUUGUGGUGAACUUCCGAAAAGCAUCUACACCCGAUUUAUGUGUUCUUUAGUAAAAAUGUUCCAAAUGACUCAAAAUGAAUAUCUUAAAAUGAAUGUUUACCGACGAGAAAAAUAAAGGCAUAAAAACUGCAAAUAAAAAGUAAUGUAGUGAUUUUUUCUUUCUUUCGGCUGGAUUUCUAUAAAACUCUGUAAAUUUCUUCUUUUUUCCUUUAAAAUGUUGUAAAAUCUUUCCUUUUUUAAUGAAACUGAAAGUUCCGAGAAGGAUUGUUGCUAAUCAGUAUAUGGACAGUUCUUUUUAUUGAAGAGCGAAAAUCUUUGAUAGCACGCGUUUUCUAUGGAAUCAUUUUAUAUUUCUACAUGGAUUUCGAAUUGUGGAUCUUGGAACAUAAAGCACGUUAACAGACGCAAAUUCAAACACAUCAAGUUUGUUUUCUUGCAGUAUGCUGUGUAACGUUCACGCGCGAGCAUUAUUUUGUAAGAAAUAAUGAUUUAGGCCUAAAUAAUAAUUGAUACGAAAUAGCGUUACACGUUCAAACGGAGGUCAGUAUGACACAAAGAGGAUCUGAGACAAACAUCUUUCGAAACAAACACCUUGCGAGACAAACAUCUUUGUGAAAAGUCUUGAUAUACGCCUCGAAGGGCAUUCUCUUUCGAGACGGGAAAGUCGUGUAUUCCCUGAGUCUUUGGUUCCGAGAUAUAUAAUUUUAUCUUUGUGUUAAUCUAUCUAUAUAUACAUAAAAAUAUAUUUACUAACAGUAACCCUAUUUUUUUACGAAAAACCGAGAGUGAUAUUGCAAUUGAAAUAAAUAAAAGGAAACUAAAAACUGAAACUGAAAUCUCAAGUCGACAAUUUCGACGGCGUGUUCGUAAUGCUGUAAGAGACAUAAUGGACAAAGCGGAAUAUGCCAAUUAUAAGAGUAGAACUUUGAGGCCUAAUAGUAAUGUUGUUUCAUCUAAUGUUACAAGAGAUAUAUUAAGUAUUCCUUCAGAUCAAUGUACAAGUGAAGCAGUUGCAUCGACUUCUCUACAACAGUACAAGAUACAAGAACAUAAUACUACUCAUAUAUUAUAGAUGAAUCUUGGCAGAAGUGUGAAGAAGAUACUAGUAGCUAUGUACAGAGAGAAGCCUGAGAACGGUCACGCACGCGUUUUAACUGUAACGCCUCAAACGUGGACAUAUGCGUU
This 4751-nucleotide long non-coding RNA is filed under the name Ooceraea biroi (clonal raider ant). RNAcentral's name for it is "uncharacterized LOC105283424". Lineage: Eukaryota; Metazoa; Arthropoda; Insecta; Hymenoptera; Formicidae. The record is from RNAcentral.